Zootermopsis nevadensis is the source of this 72-nucleotide non-coding RNA. NCBI's taxonomy places the organism in Eukaryota, Metazoa, Arthropoda, Insecta, Blattodea, Termopsidae. The record is from Rfam.
GCCCCGGUGGUCUAGCGGUUAGAACGCUGGCCUUGUAAUCCUGGGGUCUCGGGUUCGAUUCCCGGCGGUGCC